This 433-nucleotide ribosomal RNA is filed under the name uncultured bacterium. Its description in RNAcentral is "partial 16S ribosomal RNA". It matches the Rfam family "Bacterial small subunit ribosomal RNA", at positions 29 to 507 of the family's 1533-position model. The record is from RNAcentral.
AACGAACGCUGGCGGCAUGCCUAACACAUGCAAGUCGAACGAGACCUUCGGGUCUAGUGGCGCACGGGUGCGUAACGCGUGGGAACCUGCCCUUAGGUUCGGAAUACCUCCCCGAAGGGGGUGCUAAUACCGGAUAAUGUCUUCGGACCAAAGAUUUAUCGCCUUUGGAUGGGCCCGCGUUGGAUUAGCUAGUUGGUAGGGUAAAAGCCUACCAAGGCGACGAUCCAUAGCUGGUCUGAGAGGAUGAUCAGCCACACUGGGACUGAGACACAGCCCAGACUCCUACGGGAGGCAGCAGUGGGGAAUAUUGGACAAUGGGCGAAAGCCUGAUCCAGCAAUGCCGCGUGAGUGAUGAAGGCCUUAGGGUUGUAAAGCUCUUUUACCCGGGAUGAUAAUGACAGUACCGGGAGAAUAAGCUCCGGCUAACUCCGUG